Molecule: ribosomal RNA, 66 nt
Filed under: Aspergillus flavus
Lineage: Eukaryota; Fungi; Ascomycota; Eurotiomycetes; Eurotiales; Aspergillaceae
Description: partial 28S ribosomal RNA
Source: RNAcentral
UGACCUCGGAUCAGGUAGGGAUACCCGCUGAACUUAAGCAUAUCAAUAAGCGGAGGAAAGAUCGUG